UACGUAGGGUGCAAGCGUUGUCCGGAAUUAUUGGGCGUAAAGGGCUCGUAGGCGGUCCAUCACGUCGGGAGUGAAAAGCUGGGGCUUAACCCCAGUCCUGCUUCCGAUACGGGUGGACUAGAGGUAGGCAGGGGAGAACGGAAUUCCUGGUGUAGCGGUGAAAUGCGCAGAUAUCAGGAGGAACACCGGUGGCGAAGGCGGUUCUCUGGGCCUUACCUGACGCUGAGGAGCGAAAGCGUGGGGAGCGAACAGG
RNAcentral lists this ribosomal RNA (253 nucleotides) under uncultured bacterium. RNAcentral describes it as "partial 16S ribosomal RNA". It matches the Rfam family "Bacterial small subunit ribosomal RNA", at positions 524 to 776 of the family's 1533-position model. The record is from RNAcentral.